AGAGAGAGUGCAGGAGCAGGGGGAGCUGCAGGCAGAGGGAGAAGCAGGCUCCCUUCUGAGCAAGGAGGCUCGACCCCAGGACCCUGGGAUCAUGACCUGAGCUGAAGGCAGAUGCUUAACCGACUGAGCCACCCAGGGGGUGACUUUAAAGCUGAAACCUCAGCCAUACCCAUCCGAAAGGCAUCCUUUCAUUUCUGAGGUAGGAGUGAUGGAGGUGGAACCAUGGAAUGUUAUGGAAACAAGAGGAUAUUAGAGCGCCACUGACUCUUGACAAGAGUGGUCUGAGGUUCCUGUUAAUCAGUGUUUCAUCAUUUCAAUACUGAGUGUGACUUUCAGAACAUGGAAGAGAUCAUUCCAAAAUGUACAGACAAAGAACCGGCGUGAAGAGGUGGCAAAUCGGGCAAGAUCACGGAGGUGGCUGGUGGGGGAAGUGAAACCCCCCACCCAGGUUUCUGGUCCCAGAUUCAGCGCGCAUUCAUCCAGGUUAUGGGAG
Molecule: long non-coding RNA, 493 nt
Organism: Mirounga angustirostris (Northern elephant seal)
Lineage: Eukaryota; Metazoa; Chordata; Mammalia; Carnivora; Phocidae
Exons: 3
Source: RefSeq, a predicted model, not a curated record